Molecule: ribosomal RNA, 441 nt
Filed under: uncultured bacterium
Lineage: Bacteria
Description: partial 16S ribosomal RNA
Rfam family: Bacterial small subunit ribosomal RNA
Source: RNAcentral
CUACGGGAGGCACCAGUCAAGAAUCUUCCGCAAUGCACGAAAGUGUGACGGAGCGACGCCGCGUGGUGGAUGAAGGCCUUCGGGUCGUAAACACCUUUUAUUAGGGACGAACAAAUGACGGUACCUAAUGAAUAAGGGGUUGCUAACUCUGUGCCAGCAGCAGCGGUAAUACAGAGACCUCAAACGUUGUCCGAAGUUAUUGGGCGUAAAGGGUCCGCAGGUGGUUAUGUGCGUCAUAUGUCAAAUCUUUGGGCUUAACCCAAAGGCUGCGUAUGAUACGACAUGACUAGAGGCUGGGAGAGGUACACGGAAUGGCCGGUGUAGGGGUAAAAUCCGUUCAUAUCGGCUAGAACACCAAAGGCGAAGGCAGUGUACUGGAACAAGCCUGACACUCAGGGACGAAAGCGUGGGUAGCGAAUGGGAUUAGAUACCCUCGUAGUC